GUUUCCCAGAAAUUAAUAGUAAUUAAAACUGGCUCUCUAUCUCUCUCACUCUCUCCAUUAUGAUCUCUGCUCUAGUUAUUAGUAGCAGUAGAAGUUCAGUUGGGGUGGGGUCUUCACAAUAUUCAGACAGCUAUUGCUAAUUACAGCUUUUGUCCCCACGCCCCCUCAGCACCUCAUUCAUGGCUGCCCCCAACUCUAACUCUCUUCCUCUUUACAUUCCUCACCAGCCCACUUGUGUUUUUUUCCAUUCUUUCCAGUCUUCACGUUCACAUUGCAGCUAUAGCUAGUCUCUGAGCUGGGAUUUUUUUCCAAGACUACUCCUUUUUUGCUUUGAAGCCCUUUUGUUUCUUUUCUUGCAUUUUGUUUUCCCCCUUUUUUAGUGCCUCACUCAGUUUGGAAGUGGUAUGAGAGCAAAAGGGGCAGGAAUGAGCGGAGGGGAGCCUCAAAGUUACAAUUUUUAUCUUCAUUCUGUGUUCUUGCUACUUCUUUGCUUAUUUACAUCGUAUUGCAGUUCAUCAAGUUAUAUCAAAAGUUCUGUGAUAGCUCAAAGAAAACAUGCCCUCUUGCCUGAAAUAUCUCCUAGUGAAGCUCCUCAGCCCCUUCUUCCUCUCCUGGCACCUUCUCCAUUUUCACCAUUCACCAACAGCAGUAUACCAAAACUAUCUGGAGUCUGCAUAUUAAACUUUGCGGCCGUGGAAAGCAUGAUGAGGAUGACAUCAAUUGAUUGUGUGGGUGGUUUUGCACCAUAUCUAGCUAAUGUUAUAUGCUGCCCUCAAGUAGAUGCGACUCUUACUGUCCUUGUUGGUCAAUCUAGUAAGGACACCAAUAUGCUUGCUUUAAAUGGAACUCUUGCAGAACCCUGCCUUUCUGAUUUUGAGGAAAUUCUAGUGGGUCAGGGUGCCAAUGACAGUCUGCCCCGUAUAUGCUCCAUCCAUCCAUCAAACCUUACUGAAGGUUCUUGCCCAGUCGGCGAUGUUAAUGCUUUUGAGAGCACAGUGGAUUCAUCUAGUCUUCUUGCAGCCUGUGGGAAGAUUGACACUGUUAAUGAAUGUUGCAAGCAAGUUUGUCAGAAUGCUAUAGCAGAAGCAGCUGGGAAGCUGGCUGUAAAAACUUAUGAUCUUAUGAGCAUCGGUGGCUCUCAUGCACUAGCUGACCACUCAACUCGAAUAAAUGAUUGCAGAACUAUAGUACUUCGAUGGCUGGCAAGUAAACUUGAUCCUUCUCAUGCAAAAGAAGUUCUUAGAGGGCUAUCUAAUUGCAAAAUUAAUAAAGUGUGUCCUCUGGUUUUUCCAAACAUGAGCCAUGUUAUAAAGAGCUGUGGGAGUGAAUUGCAUGACCAGAGAGCUUGCUGCAAGUCAGUGGAGAGUUAUGUGUCUCAUUUGCAAAACCAAAGUUUUGUUACCAACUUGCAGGCUUUAAAUUGUGCUGCAUCACUGGGACUUAAAUUACAGAAAGCAAAUAUUACCAAAAAUAUUUAUAAUCUCUGUCGUGUCAGUCUCAAAGACUUCUCAGUCCAAGUUACCCCGCAAGGUGUGGAAUCUGGAUGCCUUUUGCCUAGCUUGCCAUCAGAUGCAGUAUUUGACAGUUCUACUGGUCUGAGCUUCCUCUGUGAUCUGAAUGACAAUAUUCCAGCUCCCUGGCCUGCUCCUUCUCAAUUACCAGCUUCAUCAUGCAAUAAGACUGUCAAAAUUCCCGCACUUCCUGCCGCAGCAUCUGGGCAAAGCAGAAUCUGUAGUGCGGACCAAGCAUCCCAUGCGCUUUUUGUAGUCUUGGCCAUAUUUGCACUCCUGAUGAAAAUUUAAUUGGCCAUUCUUGUCUGUUGAAUUACCUGAGAGGAGGAUCUACACCUUGCAACUUGAAGAAUUGUACCAAUCCUGGGGCACGAAGAACAUCAUGUGAAAGUUGAAGCAGAGGAGGAUUCUGCCAAAUAUCAUGCUACUAAUUGGGCUUUGACCGGGUUCAUAAUCAGGUUGAUCCUUCCGACAGCUGCUGCAACCAGAUUCCAGAGCAGAGAUAUCAUAAUUCAUAACCAGUGAAAGCGACGAGAAUUCUAUGAGUUGUAACCUAUAUUUGUCAUAUUUGCACAUCCAAAUGUGUAGAAAGGUGACCAUUCAUGAAGACUGUUGAUUCGAUCCUUUAGGAUUAUUAUGAUCAGGAAAAGAAAGUUGCAGCAAUUCUUGGGGUUGCCUGCACAAUACGGCAGUGGAAGGUCGUGCCAAGAAACUUUAGAAAAAAAGGGAAAAAGAUGAAGAAGAAGAUAUGGUGGGGAAAAAACAUUCCGUUUUGAGAAGAUUUUUGAGCACGUAAACGCAGUACAGCACCAACACAAGCAUCACCACAAUCAUUAUUAAGAGUUAAAGACUUCGUAGGAGAUUACAGAAGUAGUUAACGUCCAACAUUUAUGGCAAUUUCACUUAGUGCCUUUUGAGGUUUUCAAAAUUACACCUAACUCCUUUAUUCAUUGAAAAAGACAAUAUUAUAUUUU
This is an RNA transcript of Coffea arabica (coffee), 2485 nucleotides long. RefSeq lists it as uncharacterized. Lineage: Eukaryota; Viridiplantae; Streptophyta; Magnoliopsida; Gentianales; Rubiaceae. The record is from RefSeq and is a predicted model, not a curated record.